RNAcentral lists this ribosomal RNA (216 nucleotides) under uncultured fungus. RNAcentral's name for it is "partial small subunit ribosomal RNA". The stretch from base 39 to 216 matches the Rfam family "Eukaryotic small subunit ribosomal RNA", at positions 684 to 864 of the family's 1831-position model. Lineage: Eukaryota; Fungi. The record is from RNAcentral.
GGAUCAGUACGCUGGUCAUGCUUUCGGGUAUGUACUGGUGUCACUGAUUCCUCCCCUCUGAUGAACUAUCAUGCCAUUUACUUGGUGUAGUGGGGAAUUAGGACUGUUACUUUGAAAAAAUUAGAGUGUUUAAAGCAGGCUCACGCUUGAAUACAUUAGCAUGGAAUAAUGAAAUAGGACGUUGAUCUUAUUUUGUUGGUUUCUAGGAUUGACGUA